UACGUAGGGAGCAAGCGUUGUCCGGAUUUACUGGGUGUAAAGGGCGCGCAGGCGGGUUGGUAAGUCAGAAGUGAAAUCCUACAGCUUAACUGUAGAACUGCCUUUGAUACUGCCAAUCUUGAGUAUGGAAGAGAGAGACGGAAUUCCAGGUGUAGUGGUGAAAUACGUAGAUAUCUGGAAGAACACCAGUUGCGAAGGCGGUCUCUUGGUCCAAUACUGACGCUGAGGCGCGAAAGCGUGGGUAGCAAACAGG
RNAcentral lists this unclassified non-coding RNA (253 nucleotides) under uncultured Ignavibacteriales bacterium. Its description in RNAcentral is "contains 16S-23S intergenic spacer region". It matches the Rfam family "Bacterial small subunit ribosomal RNA", at positions 524 to 776 of the family's 1533-position model. Lineage: Bacteria; Pseudomonadati; Ignavibacteriota; Ignavibacteria; Ignavibacteriales. The record is from RNAcentral.